RNAcentral lists this ribosomal RNA (936 nucleotides) under Bonnemaisonia hamifera. RNAcentral's name for it is "eukaryotic LSU rRNA". It matches the Rfam family "Eukaryotic large subunit ribosomal RNA", at positions 165 to 1183 of the family's 3401-position model. Lineage: Eukaryota; Rhodophyta; Florideophyceae; Bonnemaisoniales; Bonnemaisoniaceae. The record is from RNAcentral.
CGGGGUGUCAGUGCGGGUAAGUGGCAUGGAAAUGCUCACCGUGGAGGGUGAAAGUCCCGUCCAACCUGCACAGGACACGCCGUACCAGGACGUUUCAGGCGAGUCGGGUAGCUUGGGAAUGCUGCUCUAAUUGGUGGUAAAUCUCAUCAAAGGCUAAAUAACGGUGGGAGACCGAUAGCGAACAAGUACCGUGAGGGAAAGAUGACAAGCACUUUGAAAAGAGGGUGAAAAGAGCCUGAAACCGUUACGGGGGAAGCGGAUUGCGUUGGAUUGACGGGCGCCAGUGUGUUCAGCCUUUUAGGUGUAUUGACAUUGGUGCUUAUCUGCUGUGGGUUUUCGACGACUGAUUUUGAGUCGUUGGAGGCUGAGGGCUCCAUUUUAUAUGUGAAGGACAGCAGAGCGACGACGCGAUACGACCCGUCUUGAAACACGGACCAAGGAGUCUAGCGCGGGUGCGAGUCGGAGGGUGCAAGCCCGUGGGCGAAGUGAAAGCAAGUGUAAAAACGAGCAGUUUGGGGCGGCACGGAAUCGCUGAUUCCACGACCGACCCAGAGCAGUUGCGCUGGGACCCGAAAGAUGGUGAACUAUGCCGGAGUAGGGCAAAGCCAGAGGAAACUCUGGUGGAGGCUCGUAGCGGUGCUGACGUGCAAAUCGCUCGUCGAACUUGGGUAUAGGGGCGAAAGACUAAUCGAACCAUCUAGUAGCUGGUUCCCUCCGAAGUUUCUCUCAGGAUAGCGGGCCGACAUUCCAGUUGUUUUGUGCGGUAAAGCGAAUGAUUAGCGCAUUCGGGGGCAUUUGGCCUCUGGGCGAUUCUCAAACUUUCAAUGCGCAAGGGCGCCGCUGCUUGGUUGAGCGGCGCCGGAAAAAACGUCGGCCCUGUGGGCCACUUUUGGUAAGCAGAACUGGCGAUACGGGAUGAACCGUAAGCGCGGUUAA